This 65-nucleotide transfer RNA is filed under the name Echeneibothrium multiloculatum. RNAcentral describes it as "tRNA-Trp". The record is from RNAcentral. Lineage: Eukaryota; Metazoa; Platyhelminthes; Cestoda; Rhinebothriidea; Echeneibothriidae.
ACAAAAUUAAGUUAGGUUAGACUGUAUGUUUUCAAAACAUUUAGGGGUGUGUACACCAUUUUGUG